Molecule: microRNA precursor, 132 nt
Filed under: Arachis hypogaea (peanut)
Lineage: Eukaryota; Viridiplantae; Streptophyta; Magnoliopsida; Fabales; Fabaceae
Description: miR3513 stem-loop (ahy-MIR3513)
Source: miRBase by way of RNAcentral
UAUUGUCUAAUUGUAAUGGAUUUUAAUUUCUGAGUUUGUCAUCUGAACUUCUGUUGAUUGUGUUCUAAAUUUCUGAUGUUACAUGUGUUGUUGGUUUGUUGAUAAGAUAGAAAUUGUAUAAAUACCGUUGCU